AGCAACUUGGAGGGAUGUAUAGGGAAAACCGGUAAAAAGGUAAUGUACCUAUAGUAUUAGUAACUGAUAUGAUAUUAACAAAGUUAAUUAAAAUUCUAAGUGGAUAUUGAUUAUGACAGUAUUUACUGAUGUCUUGACCAAAUCACGUGCCAGCAGUCGCGGUAAUACGUGGAAGAUAAGUGUUAUUCAUCUUUACUAGGUUUAAAGGGUACCUAGACGGUAAAUAAAACACAAAAUGUAUUUAUUAACUAGAGUUUGAUGUAAGAAAGAUUGAGUACGGUGAGUGUAGAGAUAAAAUUCUGUGAUACCACUUUGGAACUGGUAAAGGCGAAGGCUACUUUCUAUGUAAAAACUGACGUUGAGGGACGAAGGCUCGAAAAAAAGAACAGGAUUAGAUACCCUAGUAUUGUGAGCAGACAAUGAUGAGUGUCAUAUGCAAGAAUCCUAAAAUUCUAUAAUUUUUUGUGUAUAAAUGAAAGUGUAAGCAUUCCACCUUAAGAGUAACAUGGCAACAUGGAAACUGAAAUCAUUAGACCGUUUCUGAAACUCGUAGUGAAGUAUGUUGUUUAAUUUGAUGAUCCGCAAAUAACCUUACCACAACUUGUAUUACUAUCAGUAAAGUCUGGCAUACUAUGCCCAUUAUAGUAUGCCUUAGUAGCAAUCGUAGAUAAAUGUAUUGUUAAAAUAAUUCUCUAAUUUGUGUAAUUUUGGGUCUACUUACCUUUGGAGCAUGGCCUAAGAUAAGUAGUACAUAAGUAGCUAAAGAGAUUAAGAGUUUACUAGUAGCAACAAGCGUUGCACGGCUGUCUUCAGUCAAUGUUGUGAAACUGUGGUUAGAUCCAUUAAAUUGACGUAAACCCUUACUUUAUUUGUGAUAAAGUGGUUCGCCGCUAUACUGGUAGUGAUAUAAGGACUAAGACAAGUCAUCAGCUGGCA
This 936-nucleotide ribosomal RNA is filed under the name Chapsa cf. pseudophlyctis Parnmen018492(RAMK). RNAcentral describes it as "SSU rRNA". It matches the Rfam family "Bacterial small subunit ribosomal RNA", at positions 409 to 1200 of the family's 1533-position model. The record is from RNAcentral. Lineage: Eukaryota; Fungi; Ascomycota; Lecanoromycetes; Ostropales; Graphidaceae.